GAGUGGAGCUUGCUCCAUGAUUCAGCGGCGGACGGGUGAGUAAUGCCUAGGAAUCUGCCUGGUAGUGGGGGACAACGUUUCGAAAGGAACGCUAAUACCGCAUACGUCCUACGGGAGAAAGCAGGGGACCUUCGGGCCUUGCGCUAUCAGAUGAGCCUAGGUCGGAUUAGCUAGUAGGUGAGGUAAUGGCUCACCUAGGCGACGAUCCGUAACUGGUCUGAGAGGAUGAUCAGUCACACUGGAACUGAGACACGGUCCAGACUCCUACGGGAGGCAGCAGUGGGGAAUAUUGGACAAUGGGCGAAAGCCUGAUCCAGCCAUGCCGCGUGUGUGAAGAAGGUCUUCGGAUUGUAAAGCACUUUAAGUUGGGAGGAAGGGCAGUAAGUUAAUACCUUGCUGUUUUGACGUUACCAACAGAAUAAGCACCGGCUAACUUCGUGCCAGCAGCCGCGGUAAUACGAAGGGUGCAAGCGUUAAUCGGAAUUACUGGGCGUGAAGCGCGCGU
RNAcentral lists this ribosomal RNA (505 nucleotides) under uncultured Gammaproteobacteria bacterium. RNAcentral describes it as "bacterial SSU rRNA". It matches the Rfam family "Bacterial small subunit ribosomal RNA", at positions 71 to 572 of the family's 1533-position model. Lineage: Bacteria; Pseudomonadati; Pseudomonadota; Gammaproteobacteria. The record is from RNAcentral.